Polyodon spathula (Mississippi paddlefish) is the source of this 1945-nucleotide long non-coding RNA. RefSeq lists it as uncharacterized. The record is from RefSeq and is a predicted model, not a curated record. Lineage: Eukaryota; Metazoa; Chordata; Actinopteri; Acipenseriformes; Polyodontidae. The transcript has 3 exons.
AACAAUUUCAUAAGCUCUGGGCUAUGAUAUUUUGUUUAUUUAUUUUUGUCAAUUUUUUAGCUUCAUGGAACAUUCUGGAGAGGCACUGUCUACAAUAAUUCCCACAUUGAGUAACUUUGCCAGUGAUAUAUUGUGAUAUGCUUCACAGGCCCAUGGGGUAGACGCAACACAUCUGGAUUAAAAGCUGCUUCAUCAGGGAGGAUGCAGGGUCCAUAGAGGGUAGGACCUGUGCAAAACAUCUCAGGAGUACUCAGCCAAUCACAACUUGAAAAUCAUUCACGGUUCAAUGGGCUGUCAAAAGCUUUUUCCAGUUAAGGGGCUAACAAAGUGGAUAUUGGGACAGCCCUAUUUCACGCUUACAACUUUUCAAAACGGUUCUGGAUUUAUCUUAUGCCUGUGUUCCCAAACCACUGGAUUACUAAAUAUUAAACUGAAGCGCAACAGACUGUCUCAGCUUACCCGUUUUUUUUGGUUUCACGCUUUGUAAGACUGGGAAUGGCUCAAGGAAUCAUUUUCAGCUACUAUAACUAUACAAAUGUGAGGAUCUCUCAGCCUUCAGCUUCUUCCAGUCUCAAACUGACUCCUUGGGGGUGGGGGGACAUCAUUGAUCUUUGGUGAAAGAGUAUAAACAACUCGCUGCAUCAGCCCCAAGACCUGUGUUUAAUGAGCGGAUGUCUAUAGUUCUAUGUAUUCUGUUUGCCAGCUAACUUGUGUGUAUUGUUCACUUCCAGAAAAAAGACUAGAGUCUGCCUGAGAUUUACUUUCCUUCCUGAAUUGGCAGGAGCAACGGUGCCCCCUCUCGCCCCCUUCCAGCCAACCUCAUUGUGUUCCAUGGUACUGCCAGAGUCCUUAACCCCUUCACUCCUGCAUAACUGCAUGAACUGUGCACCAAGAUUCAACUGCACACCUGUCUGUUUGGAAUGUCAACAAAAAACAAGCCUCCCGCCCCCCUCGCAACAGCUUUCUUCCAAACCGAGGAUGUGAAUGCAUCACGGACCAGAAGGAUAAGGCCCAGCACAAACACACCUUCCACACAAGCUUCAGCUGUACAACCAGCCCACAGCUGCACAGCAUGGCUCUCACAAAACCACAUGGGCACCACCAUGCUACACACCUGCCCUUUGAAAUGGAAGGGACUACUGUACCCACUGUAAAUGCAUUGCUUGUAUCCAAGUGUGUUUGUACCAAAACAUUGACUGAAUCUUAUUUUCUGGGCAAGGCAACUUCCUGCAUGUUUGUUACAGUAAAAAUCACAGCCUGUCUUAUUCCGUACAAGUAGAAAAGUGUAUUGUAUUUUGAUACACAAAACUGAGCUGAGGUUUUAAAAAAAUGUGCUGCAUUGCAGGCAAGUCUGACUGGGUUUAUUCAUUCUAAAUUCUUCUUAAUCGAUUCAUCCUUCCAAAUCCCAUUCCAUUUAAAUCUAUUCUAGUUCAGAUUCCUUCAAAGGAAUUUCAAUUGGAAUCGAUUAAAAUGGAAUAGGAAUUGGAACCAGAAUGGAGAAUCCAGUAUAAAUGGAACUGGAAUUGGAAUAAAGGAAUCCCAACCCUGACAGGUGCACACACAAACACUCACAUAAAUACACAGAAACAUUUCAAAUGUAUUUCAUUAACUUUGUUACUUACUGUACCACAAUUAGUUCACAUGUCAUUGAGAUUCAGCACGGAUCUAUAACACUAAUUUUUACUGGAUAACAGUGACACUAAAUCUAAAGCUGAAACAAGCAGUUUAAAUAAAUGAGCAGUCAAAGUGCAAGGCAAGCCGACACGAGUAAACAAAUCAGACAUUUCAUAUGCCACUGAAGAAUGGCCACAAACGCAUUCUAAGCUGGCUUUGAUACAUGAUAGCAACACAAGGGGCUCUAUUCAGUACAAAUUCAUGACCGCAGGAUUGUGAAAGCUCAAGCUGAAAAACUUCUACAAUUAAAAAAAAAAAAAACAGGUAUGCA